GAUGAACGCUGGCGGCGUGCCUAAUACAUGCAAGUCGAGCGAACGGACGAGAAGCUUGCUUUUCUGAUGUUAGCGGCGGACGGGUGAGUAACACGUGGAUAACCUACCUAUAAGACUGGGAUAACUUCGGGAAACCGGAGCUAAUACCGGAUAAUAUUUUGAACCGCAUGGUUCAAAAGUGAAAGACGGUCUUGCUGUCACUUAUAGAUGGAUCCGCGCUGCAUUAGCUAGUUGGUAAGGUAACGGCUUACCAAGGCAACGAUGCAUAGCCGACCUGAGAGGGGGAUCGGCCACACUGGAACUGAGACACGGUCCAGACGACUACGGGAGGCAGCAGUAGGGAAUCUUCCGCAAAGGGCGGAAGCAUGACGGAGCAACGCCGCGUGAGUGAUGAAGGUCUUCGGAUCGUAAAACUCUGUUAUUAGGGAAGAACAUAUGUGUAAGUAACUGUGCACAUCUUGACGGUACCUAAUCAGAAAGCCACGGCUAACUACGUG
RNAcentral lists this ribosomal RNA (497 nucleotides) under uncultured bacterium. RNAcentral's name for it is "partial 16S ribosomal RNA". It matches the Rfam family "Bacterial small subunit ribosomal RNA", at positions 28 to 507 of the family's 1533-position model. The record is from RNAcentral.